UACAGAGGUCCCAAGCGUUGUUCGGAUUCACUGGGCGUAAAGGGUGCGUAGGUGGCUUGGUAAGUUCGAUGUGAAAUCUCCGGGCUUAACUCGGAAAUGGCAUUGAAUACUAUUGAGCUGGAGGUUUGGAGGGGGGACUGGAAUUCUCGGUGUAGCAGUGAAAUGCGUAGAUAUCGAGAGGAACACCAGUGGCGAAGGCGAGUCCCUGGACAACACCUGACACUGAGGCACGAAAGCUAGGGGAGCAAACAGG
This 253-nucleotide ribosomal RNA is filed under the name uncultured bacterium. RNAcentral's name for it is "partial 16S ribosomal RNA". It matches the Rfam family "Bacterial small subunit ribosomal RNA", at positions 524 to 776 of the family's 1533-position model. The record is from RNAcentral.